Long non-coding RNA from Neofelis nebulosa (Clouded leopard), 1685 nucleotides. RefSeq lists it as uncharacterized. The transcript has 3 exons. NCBI's taxonomy places the organism in Eukaryota, Metazoa, Chordata, Mammalia, Carnivora, Felidae. The record is from RefSeq and is a predicted model, not a curated record.
UGGGCCGCAAGGCCGACGGAGCCCCUCUGUCGGGGCCGGGGCUGCGGUGCUGAGCUUCCUACCCGGGCCGCCCCCCGCUUUCGCGCAGCCGCGGCCCGGAGCAGGCGCGUUGUUCGCCCCCACGCCAGUAGCCUCGAGCUCUGGGAAGUCUCCCGCCCAGGUAGGGGCCCGGUGACAGAGAGAAUAGGAUAAUGGAGGAUGAUGUUUUACCCAGGAACUAACAGGACGUCCGGGAAAACCUGGCCCCAGACAGCGUUCAAGACCAUUCCCUUCUGCUUUUUUCCUGAGGGCAGAGAAUGCUGAUGCAGCAACAGUCACCUAAGACUCAAACAGGAAAAGCAAAAAAUCUCAGGAGACUCUCCACUGCGGUAGUACAGUGAGAAGUCUUUGCUUGUGCCCACUGGGGUUAUUUCAGAGCAGACGCUCCACUCAGCCCGCCACGAGCGCCUUAACCCCUUCCGGCACAGCCCAUCGCGGCUCCAACCGGGCUCGGUUGGCAGUGCCCCACCCACACAGUACCCCCCACCCAACCGUCUGUCCAUCCUUCUGUCCCUACGGCUGAUUUAUUGACCCUGACCCUCCGUUAUCUUCUUCGAUUUCCUAAUUAAUCGCAGAUAAAAGGCAAUGGUGCAAAUUACAAUGAUGAAGGGCUGGAAGAUGGUUUUGAUCAAAAUGGGAGAAGGGAGAUAUGAUUAAUUGGACGUGAGAAUGAAAUCUCAAGUGCGAGGAACAGGCCUCAGGGGGUCAAACCCUGACCCCUGAAUGUUGUGGGUGAGCCCUUCUGCCUGCUUUAGCGCCUUCAUGAGGAGGUAGUCCCUCAGAUUAGGUCACUUGGGUCCCAAGCCUGUGGAGGAGAGAGAACUGGGGUUCCUCUGGGGCUUCCAAACUCUCUAGGUGCCUGUUGCCCAACCCACUCUCCCCCCUCCCCGGACAUACUCUGCUGCUGCCUCUGCAGAAUUUCGGGAUCCCUGGCCAGUGAUUCCACUGUCCAACAGGUACGCCUUUUGGCUGAAGUGCACCCCGUUAUUGCAUAAAUGCCUGGCAAGUCUCUCACAGUUUUCCUGUCUUUGAACAUUCCUCUAGUGAGUGGGGCUAACUCUUUGUGAAACUGCAGGAAAACAAGUCUAGUAGGUCAGAGAUUGUAUUUGUUCGUGUAAGGGAUUAAUAGCGCCCCUUUCUGAUGCUGCUUUCCAGAAUUACAUUCGGGAUUAAAAAGCAGACACGGCACGGGCACACAUUUUGCAUUCCCUGGUGGUUGUGAUUAAUGUUUCCGAGGGGAUUUGUGCUGGGAGCUUACGGAACGCGCUCUCGGGGGUCUAAUGCCCAUCGGCCGCGGCGCCGGGGUGAGAGGAGGGUCUGCGGGCACGCGCCAGAGCACGGGGGAUUAGAGAGGACCUCAGAUGGGCACAGACGCCCGGUGCGGUGGCCUUUUAGUGCCGCCCCGGCACCCACCCGGCAAAACUGCUUAGGAGGAGGAAGCUGUGAGAACUGUCCCGGGGGGCGGACUUGGGGUUUUUAGGGAUAUGUGUAAAGGGAAGAUGCCCUCGAGUGGCCUGACUUUGGGGUGGGAGAAAGGGGCUCAGUACCAAGCCUCUGAACUUCAUACAUCCGUCCUGUGAGAGGAGUUCGUUCCCCACUCCCGGUUCAGGGGAAACGCUGCUCCCGGACGCGUCACUCACCGGCAA